Molecule: ribosomal RNA, 253 nt
Filed under: uncultured bacterium
Lineage: Bacteria
Description: partial 16S ribosomal RNA
Rfam family: Bacterial small subunit ribosomal RNA
Source: RNAcentral
UACGUAGGGGGCAAGCGUUGUCCGGAUUUAUUGGGCGUAAAGAGCGUGUAGGCGGCCAGGUAGGUCCGUUGUGAAAACUCGAGGCUCAACCUCGAGACGUCGGCGGAAACCCUCUGGCUAGAGUCCGGAAGAGGAGAGUGGAAUUCCUGGUGUAGCGGUGAAAUGCGUAGAUAUCGGAAGGAACAUCAGUGGCGAAAGCGGCUUCCUGGUCCAGCACCGACGUUCAGGCACGAAAGCGUGGGGAGCAAACAGG